UCAACAAAUAAACAUUCAAACCCAUUAAAUAAUAAAUCCAAAGCAUUAAUCAAGUUGAAAAACUCAAAACCAUCCUAAUCAAGUCUAAACUAGCUAAUAAAAUAUCACAAAAUAAAUUCAAAAAAUAUCUUAAAGUCUAAACAUACCAUAACUUUUAAAGUAUAAACAUCCCAACAAUAACAAACAACCACAACAACCUACUCCUCAUCAAAUUCAGUCUCUUCGUCAUUAGAAGAUUGAAGCAUGUGUUCCUCCAGAAACUUUUCACUAUUUUACAUCUGUUCAUAUUGAAGUCAUAUCAUCGCUUGACAAUUGAAUUUGGGGUACCAUCCUGAGAAGCAUGUUGUAUUUGGAGCUAUUCAGCCAAACUUCUAUGAUAUCCUUCCUGAAAUAAAAAUAAGAAGCAUAAUAUAUAAAAAGUUAAACUAAUAUGAAAGAAAACACAAUAAACUUAAAGUUAUGAUCUUCCAUGUCUCCUCUCCAUGUGGCUUCACCCAUCCUUCUCUUGAAUCGUCCUUCUUCUUUUUCUUAUUGUUUCCACAAAGACCUCAACAUAAGGCAUUGGUCAUCCUUUUAAUUUUUCCUGAAAAAUUAAUAAAUAAGAGUUGGAUAAUAGCUCAAUCCAAUUAAAUAAGACCAAGUAAAAUAAAAGUAAAAAUUACCAUUCUCUGUCGAUGCAGAGAAAAAUUUAUAGAUCUUGUGGUUUGCAACGAGCAAACGUUUUGAGAGGCUCAGAUUGUGUUUGCUCGUUCACUCUUCAUCUUAAAUUUAGGAGCCUCCCACUUCUCUAAAAAGAUUAUCCAUGCAUCUUUUCAUAUCCAAUCAGUUUUUGUUUUAGC
This 839-nucleotide long non-coding RNA is filed under the name Nicotiana benthamiana. Its description in RNAcentral is "long non-coding RNA (NBEN_LNC034002)". The record is from RNAcentral. Lineage: Eukaryota; Viridiplantae; Streptophyta; Magnoliopsida; Solanales; Solanaceae.